Beta vulgaris subsp. vulgaris (sugar beet) is the source of this 2065-nucleotide RNA transcript. It is a transcript of the gene named heterogeneous nuclear ribonucleoprotein 1, with no coding region annotated. The transcript has 3 exons. The record is from RefSeq and is a predicted model, not a curated record. Lineage: Eukaryota; Viridiplantae; Streptophyta; Magnoliopsida; Caryophyllales; Amaranthaceae.
CCCUUCCCCCAAUCCCAUUUCCUCCAAACCCUCCGCCACAAACCCUUAUCCCCCACCUCUCAAGCUCCUCUAUUCACUUUCUCUCUCCUCAUUUUCUUCAAAAAUCCAAUCUUUUUCACAAACCCAUCAAUAAAUUUGAAGGAGGAGAGAGAUUGAGAAAAAGGGUUUUUGUAAAACUUCAUAAAUCAAUCAAUUAAUCCAAAAAACGAUGGAUUCAGAUCAGGGGAAAUUGUUUGUUGGUGGGAUUUCAUGGGAAACUUCAGAAGAAAAAUUGAAAGAUUAUUUUGGACAAUUUGGUGAUGUUUUUCAGGUUAAUAUUAUGAAAGAUAAAGCUACUGGUAGACCUAGAGGUUUUGGGUUUGUUCUUUUUUCAGAUCCUUCUGUUGUUGAUAGAGUUCUUCAGGAAAAACACACCAUUGAUGGAAGACCAGUUGAGGCUAAGCGAGCCAUGUCGCGAGAAGAGCAGCAGAACACUGGUAGAGGUGGAAAUAAUGGUAGUAGAAACGGAGGCGGAGGAGGAAACUUCAGAACUAAGAAGAUUUUUGUUGGGGGGUUGCCUCCUACUUUAUCUGAUGAAGGUUUUAGGCAGUAUUUUGAGAACUAUGGCCAUGUAACCGAUGUAGUUAUAAUGUAUGAUCAAAACACAGAUAGACCUCGAGGUUUUGGAUUCAUCUCGUUUGAUAGUGAGGAUGCAGUAGAUAGAGUUAUACAGAAUACCUUUCAUGACUUAAAUGGUAAACAAGUUGAGGUGAAGCGUGCUCUUCCCAAGGAUGCUAACCCUGGUAUGUCUAGCCGUGGCGGUGGAGGUGGUUAUAAUUCUGGUGGUGGUCAAAAUGCUUAUGAUGGUAGAAUGGAUUCUAAUAGGUACAUGCAAUCUCAGAGUGCUGGAGGUGCAUUUCCACCUUAUGGUUCUUCUGGCUAUGGUGCAGCUGGUUAUGGAUAUGGGCCUGCUAAUACUGGCAUGGGAUAUGGUGGGUAUGCUGGAUAUGGCGGUGGGAAUCCUGGGUAUGGGGGUCCUGCAAGUGCUGCUUAUGGUAAUCCCAAUGUUUCCAACGCCGCAAGGAGUUCAUGGAAUGCACAGGCAGCCUCUGCUUAUGGUGCAGCAGCUGGCUAUGGGAGUGCAGGUCCUUGGGCCGCUACUGCUGCAGGAAGUGGUGGACCAACUGGUCAAUCUCCAAGUGGAGCUUCGGGGUAUGCUAAUCAAGGUUAUGGAUAUAAUAACUAUGGUGGCGGGGAUGGUUAUGGUAAUGUAGGAAAUCGUGCUGCAGGAGCCGCUGGUAGCAAUGCCUCUGCUGGUGGUGGAGAGAUGCAAGGUGGCUAUGGAAGUGGAUACGGCGAUGCCAAUGGUCAUGGAGGAUAUGGGGCUGGAGCUUAUGCGGGCCAGGCAAAUGGACCUCAGAUGGGCUAUGGUGGUGGAUAUGGAGGGGCUCAAAAUCGGCAAGUGCAGUAGCUGUAGCUCUUCAUCAAACUGAGUUAUCAUGGAAAGGAAUAGCCCCUUUCAAUCUCAAGUAUACUGUUGGACUGGAGAGGUGCUCGAGUUCUCAAGUGAGGGGCUUCACACAGCUAAAUGCAACUUUGUGGCGGAAUGUUUAAAACCUGGAAUCAUUUUUUAUCGUGAGAGAAUAUUCUGAUGGCAUAAUGCAUUCACUGGGACUGAUCAACCCACGCAAGACCCUCUUCCGUUCUAACCUCUAAUCUUCUAUCAAGUUAUGGUGGGGCUGAAGGAAAUUUCUAAGAUGAUCUCCCUUCGGUAUGUCUGAGCUCAAUUGAGGAUAUUUUCUUCCUUAGCUAUAUUAGAGGAAUAUGUUUGUCCUAUUAGGAAAUUUUGACUAUUAAAGCUUGGUUUGUCUUAUGGAAUGAAAAGAUAAAUCUUUUGUAUAGUUUUAUCAUUUAUGACUGCUUGUGGCAGUUGAAGUAGGCUACAAAGUAGUUAGUGUCUUUUGAAGUAGUCGAGUUCCCCGUUAGAGCUUGCUUUUUGCUUAGUCUCGUUUGAAUGAUUAGUCAUUUAGUUCAUUUAGAAUUUCAUAGUUUUUUUGUUCUUAUUAUACAAGAGCGCUUUCAGUUA